This 464-nucleotide ribosomal RNA is filed under the name Metapseudomonas otitidis. RNAcentral describes it as "bacterial SSU rRNA". It matches the Rfam family "Bacterial small subunit ribosomal RNA", at positions 30 to 491 of the family's 1533-position model. Lineage: Bacteria; Pseudomonadati; Pseudomonadota; Gammaproteobacteria; Pseudomonadales; Pseudomonadaceae. The record is from RNAcentral.
AUUGAACGCUGGCGGCAGGCCUAACACAUGCAAGUCGAGCGGAUGAGUGGAGCUUGCUCCAUGAUUCAGCGGCGGACGGGUGAGUAAUGCCUAGGAAUCUGCCUGGUAGUGGGGGGCAACGUUUCGAAAGGAACGCUAAUACCGCAUACGUCCUACGGGAGAAAGUGGGGGAUCUUCGGACCUCACGCUAUCAGAUGAGCCUAGGUCGAAUUAGCUAGUUGGUGAGGUAAAGGCUCACCAAGGCGACGAUCCGUAACUGGUCUGAGAGGAUGAUCAGUCACACUGGAACUGAGACACGGUCCAGACUCCUACGGGAGGCAGCAGUGGGGAAUAUUGGACAAUGGGCGAAAGCCUGAUCCAGCCAUGCCGCGUGUGUGAAGAAGGUCUUCGGAUUGUAAAGCACUUUAAGUUGGGAGGAAGGGCAGUAAGUUAAUACCUUGCUGUUGACGUACCAAACAGAUAGC